GGGUUUAGCCUCUCCGAUCUCGUGGUAGAUCAACUCUUGUAAUACCCAUAUUAUCAAGUAUAAUCAAGCAGGACGUAGGGUUUUACCUCCAUCAAGAGGUCCCGAACCUAGGUAAAACAUCGUGUCCCCUGCCUCCUGUUACCAUCCGCCUUAGACGCACAGUUCAGGACCCCCUACCCGAGAUCUGCCGGUUUUGACACCGACAUUGGUGCUUUCAUUGAGAGUUCCUCUGUGUCGUCGUCAUUAGGCUGGAUGGCUCCUUCGAUCAUCGAUAGCGAUGCAGUUCAGGGUGAGACUUUUGUCCCCGGACAGAUCUUUGUGUUCGGCUGCUUCGCACUGCGGGCCAACUCGCUUGGCCAUCCAGAGUAGAUCGAGAGUUACGCCCCUGGCCACAAGGUCAAGUUCGGACUGUGCUCAGGAGAUCGCGCCCGCAACCACUCUGACCCUCAAUUCGGAGCCAGAUGCACCGUCCAUGGACGGGUGGAUAGACCCCCCCACGGAGGCCGCACUCUCAUCGGCGAUCGAGCCGAGUAUCGACCUUACCCUUCACGGGAGCCGUGACGCCGAACUACCGGAUCCUUUCCCGGCCAUGGACUCCGAACCGCCUGCGCCCAUGCCUAUCGAAUCCGAUUGGGCGCCGAUCAUGGAGUUUACCUCCGUGGAUAUUUUUCAAUACUCGCCCUUCAGGGACAUACUGAACUCAUUAAGGUCUCUCUCCUUGUCAGGAGAGUCCUGGCCGAACUAUGUUCGGCAGGAUUGGGAUGCGGAUGACGAAGAAAUUCGCCGCCCACCCACCACCCAUUUAGUAGCCACUGUCGACAACUUAACCGACAUGCUCGACUUUGACUCCGAAGACAUCGACGGUGUCGGUGUACUAGAGUAGGGGUACCCUAGUAUCCCGAACUUGUGCACGGGCAGGCGCAGCAUCCCGCGGCAAGGCUUGUCGGUGACCGCCAAGGUCCUCCAUGGUUCCUUUGGAGCCAUUCAAGAACAAAGUAUCCAAACCAAGACACCACAAGACCCCGGCAAGAGGAGCUUGCCGGGAAGGCCAACCAAGGCAAGGCGCUUAAGGAGACAAGACCCCGGCAAGAGGAGCUUGCCGGGAAGGCCAACCAAGGCAAGGCGCUUAAGGAGACAAGACCCCGGCAAGAGGAGCUUGCCGGGAAGGCCACCCAAGGCAUCUCAAAGAACUUGCCGCGGCGCGCCUCGCGUCCCGGCAAGGCCCGGUGAGCGACAAACUCCCGGACGCGACAAGACAACGACCGCGGCAAGGCGCUUGCCGCGGCAAGUCACCACUCUGUGCCUGCGCUCCAGCACAUCCACCAACGUGUCGCUCUGGGACCCUUCCAGGCGUGCGUGGCGGGAGGCUGUGCAGCCAGCGGUGCGCAGUGGCGAGCGGCGCUGACAAGAUUGCCAUCGUGGCGAGUGGUGGCGUCCCUGACGGUCCCUUUUGCACUGUUUAGGCGACACAGACGGGCAUUUAAUGCCCUUGUCCCCUGCCGUCAGGGUUAGGUAUGAUACACUGUAGCAGGUAGCUGUACCUACCGCAGCACCUUUCCAUUUUUACCCUUUGUCUCCGUUGCCACCUGUCGGUGACCCCUUGAGCAUAUAAAAGGAGGCCCAUGUGCAACGUAGAGGGGGGUUCGGGGGCUCCUGUCGGUGUACUAGAGUAGGGGUACCCUAGUAUCCCGAACUUGUGCACGGGCAGUCGCAGCAUCCCGCGGCAAGGCUUGCCGGGUGACCGCCAAGGUCCUCCGUGGUUUCUUUGGAGCCAUUCAAGAACAAAGUAUCCAAACCAAGACACCACAAGACCCCGGCAAGAGGAGCUUGCCGGGAAGGCCAACCAAGGCAAGGCGCUUAAGGAGACAAGACCCCCGCAAGAGGAGCUUGCCGGGAAGGCCACCCAAGGCAUCUCAAGGAACUUGCCGCGGCGCGCCUCGCGUCCCGGCAAGGCCCGGUGAGCGACAAACUCCCGGACGCGACAAGACAACGACCGCGGCAAGGCGCUUGCCGCGGCAAGCCACCACUCUGUGCCCGCGCUCCAGCACAUCCACCAACGUGUCGCUCUGGGACCCUUCCAGGCGUGCGUGGCGGGAGGCUGUGCAGCCAGCGGUGCGCAGUGCCGAGCGGCGCUAACAAGAUUGCCAUCGUGGCGAGCGGUGGCGUCCCUGACGGUCCCUUUUGCACUGUUUAGGUGACACAGACGGGCAUUUAAUGCCCUUGUCCCCUGCCGUCAGGGUUAGGUAUGAUACACUGUAGCAGGUAGCUGUACCUACCGUAGCACCUUUACAUUUUUACCCUUUGUCUCCGUUGCCACCUGUCGGUGACCCCUUGAGCAUAUAAAAGGAGGCCCAUGUGCAACGUAGAGGGGGGUUCGGAAAAAAGAGAACACUCAGGCUCGGUCUCGUUAGCCGCUGGUGUGUACUGUAGCACUCCGCGCUCCCGAGCAAGAACUCAAUACAAACCACAAAGCAGGAGUAGGGUUUUACGCAUCCGUGCGGCCCGACCUGGGUAAACUGCUCGUGUGCUUCGCCUCGAUCCGCUCUUCGUGCGACCUCCGCCCCCGCCGAACCGAAAGGGACUCGGUCCGUCGGUCCCAUAGGUGUUCGUGGAUUAGUCCCCCGACAUCUUUGGCGCACCAGGUAGGGGGCGUCGAGAUUGUGUGAACCAGAUCCGGCGUUCACACGAGCUAGAUCUUCAUCAUCUUCAUCGACAUGCCGCCAAAAAAGAAGGCUUUGGAGGCGGCUGCUCCGUCCACGCUGAACCCACCACCGCCGGAGCAAACGGCUGAUGGGGCAGACGCCGGCGGAAGAACGGGCGUCGACGAGGGAGCUCACGGUGCUGCCAGGUCCAAGGACAAGGUUGCGCUACCCAUCAGCGGCGUAGCCGGCUCCCACAACGACCGGGCGCACUCCAAGACCUCGGCGUCCGUACAUGCACCGCGCCCAUCUCAGGAGGCGCGGGACCGGCAGCAUCAUGGUACUCACAGUACCAUGCGUUUGCUGGACCAAGAUCGAGCUGGCGGAUCCCGGAGUGCUCAAGACCAGCAUGCACGCCAACAUGCUGGCACGAGCGAGGCACGGUCGCCUGGACGGGAUACUACUCCUUCUAACAUAGUUAGAAGUCCGAGCAUAUCCCGCUCCUCGCACCGUUCGCCACCGCCACCCGCCACUACAGCAGAAGCUUUAGCGCGAGCUCAAUUGCUCCUGGACUACCCUCCAACGGCAAACAAGAUCGACGACUGGAGGGCCACCAUUCAGAGUCUCAUCGGCUUCGCCAACGGCGACACUCAACAGCAGCCGAGCACGUCGCAGCCGUGGCAAGCCAGGCAGGCACGAGACGGUGGCGACAAGGCCGGUGGGGGUGCAACCAUUGUGCACUCUCCGCCCCGAAGGCCAAGAUCGCCGACUCGUCGAAUCCACCUCGACAGCGACUCCACCGCGUCAUCAGAUCCACGAGCUCGCCGCGAUCAGCGCCAAGUUCUUCACGAACGACAGCAAGAAGAUUCUCACACUCGCAUCAAGCGCCGAAGAGAAGCGCGACAUCAAUCGGACCAGCGCGUUGGGCCCUCUGUUGACAUGCACGCGCCAGGGGAACCAGGCGGCUUGCCGUACGCGGUAGGUUGCCCUGCGUUUACUCGUGAGCUGCGGCAAGUCCAGUGGCCCAGCAUGAAGAAUUUCAAGCCAGAUGUACCAGAGAAGUAUGACGGCAAGUUGCAUCCGUCGGAGUUCCUCAGCAUCUACACCAUCGCGGUGCAGGCUGCCGGGGGGCGGGACGACAAGAUCCUUGCCAACUACUUCCCGCUGGUGCUCAAACCCAACGUCAGGUCCUGGCUCAUGCACUUGCCGGACAACUCCAUGUCCUCCUGGGCAGACCUUUGCCAUCAGUUUGUCGGCGCCUUUACAGGCGGCCACAAACCUCAUGGCCAAGAGAGUGACCUUCAUCUGCUCACCCAGAAGGAAGGUGAGCCCCUGCGCAAGUACAUUCAGAAGUUCAGCCGUGUACAGCACAACAUCCGAGAUGUCCACCCUACCGCGGUCAUCAGCGCGUUCCAUCAGAACGUGCAUAACCGCAGGAUGCGGGAGGAGAUGGCGAUGUGCAAGAUCAGAGACGUCAGUGAGCUGUAUGCCCUGGCCGACAAGUGUGCACGUGCUGAGGAAGGGAGGAAACUCCCUGGAGAGAAUGCAAGAGCAGGAGGAUCUGACAGCGAGGAUGCUGCCCCGGCAAAGAAAAACCGGCAGCAGAACAACAGGAAGAAGAAAGGCAAAGAUAUGCUAGUCGUUGAGCAGUCCGGCAACGAAGGUGGCGCCAAGAAAGCCAAAGCAGGUAGCUCCGGCAAGGAGAUUGUCGCAUGCACCAACUGCCAGGCUGUGGCGGUCAUCGACAAGCAGGACGGCACCGACAAGCAGUACUCCAAGAUCCACCGCACCAAGGGCCAUGACCUCCAGAGCUGCAAGAAGGUCGAACAGCUUGUCCAGCAGCAAAAAGCCAAAUACGAGCAACGUGACAAGGAGAGGGCCCAAGGUGGCGAUGAAGAAUCCGGCAAGAAGCGCGCCGGCCGGGGAGGACGCCGCGGCAAGGCCAAGCAGCGGCAAGGAGACAGACCUCCCCGCGGCCGCGACAAGGAUGAAGAUGACGACGACGACGAAGACAUGGAUGAUGUCGAGACCAGUGAGCAGGAGUUCCAGAAAGCCAUAGAGGUCUUGUGCGUUGAUGGCGGUGCUUCUCUACAUACUUCGCACCGCCAACUCAAGCAGUGGGUGCGGGAAGUCAAUGCGGCGGAACCACCUGUCGAGUCACGCAAGCUUCUGAAAUGGUCCAGCACGCCUAUCAUCUUUGAUAUUGAGGACCACCCUGAUCGCACAACUGCGGUCGGGUGCUUGCCGAUGUUGGUUUCACCAACUAUCCGCAACCUCAAGGUCACUAAGAUGUUAGUUGACGGCGGGGCCGGCUUGAACCUGAUCUCCUCCGCGGUACUCCAGAAAUUCAGAUCCCUGACAGCGAGCUUGAAGAGACCGGCACAUUCCAAGGAAUCAACCCGGGAAGGAGCAAGACGAAGGGGAAGGUCACGUUGCUAGUAACAUUUGGCAGCGAGUUGAACUUUAGGACUGAGAGGGUCACUUUUGACGUUGCCGAUAUACCAUUGCCUUACAAUGGAAUACUUGGCCGUCCAGCACUCGCCAAGUUCAUGGCAGCCUCUCACUACGCAUACAACAUGCUGAAGAUGCCAGGCCCGAUAAGCGUCAUCUCUGUCCCCGGCGACAAGAAGGAUGCUCUUAUCUGCGCCGACAAAAUCUACCGGGAAGCGACAGCCGCAACAGAUCGCAAGUCACUCGCCGUUGAAGCUCCCGGGGGGAAGAAGAAGACCGAGUCCGGCAAGAGUUCUGAUGCCCACUCCGGCAAGUGCACCUCUUCGGAGUGCUGCGCUGCCGUCGAGGACGCACCAUUGAGCUCCACCGGCAAGUGUAAGAAGACAAUGGCGGCUCCGCCACAGACGAAGAAGGUGUCCGCCAAGGAGGAUGGCACUGGUGGUACCUUCACCAUCGGUGCCACUCUCGACCCUAAAUAGGAAAGCGCGCUCAUUACUUUCCUGCGGGCGAAUGUCGACGUGUUUGCGUGGCAACCGUCUGACAUCCCCGGUGUUCCCAGGAAAGUAAUUGAGCACCACCUUGUUGUUUGUCCUCAUGCGUGGCCCGUCAAGCAGAAGGUCAGGAAGCAAGCAGUGGAGCGCCAAGAAUUCAUUGCAGAAGAGAUCAAGAAGUUGGAAGCAGCAGGCCUUGUCAGAGGAGUGCUCCAUCCUACGUGGUUGGCCAAUCCUGUAGUCGUGCGCAAGGCGAACGGGAAAUGGAGACUUUGUAUCGAUUUUACCGAUGUUAACAAAGCUUGUCCCAAAGACCCAUUUCCUUUGCCGCGCAUUGACCAGAUUGUUGACUCCACGGCCGGAUGUGAUUUGCUUUCAUUUCUUGACGCAUACUCAGGAUACCAUCAGAUCUUCAUGGCAGAAAAGGAUGAGGAGAAGACCGCAUUCAUUACUCCAUGUGGCACGUACUGUUUCAUACGGAUGCCUUUCGGAUUAAAAAAUGCUGGCUCAACAUUUGCAAGAGUAGUCCAUGUCGCUCUUAAGCCACAAAUACACAUAAAUGUGGAAGCCUACAUGGAUGAUAUAGUGGUUAAGAGCAAGGACAAGGCAACUCUGAUCCAAGAUUUAGACGAGACCUUUGCAAAUCUGCGCAAGAUCAGCCUCAAGCUCAACCCCGAGAAGUGUGUGUUUGGAGUCCCCUCCGGCAAGCUUCUCGGGUUCUUCGUGUCUCAGCGGGGAAUCGAAGCCAAUCCCGACAAGAUCAAGGCCAUUGAGCAGAUUGAAGCACCAAAGUGCGUCAAGGAUGUACAAAGACUUGCCAGUUGCGUGGCUGCUCUUAGCAGGUUUAUCUCUAGGUCUGCUGAGCGCGCCCUACCGUUUUUCAAAUUAUUGAAAAAGGCAGGUCCAAUGAAAUGGACUCUGGAAGCGGAGGCUGCGCUGCAAGACUUGAAGAGAUACCUGUCCUCCCCUCCAAUACUUGUCGCACCUAAGCCACAAGAGAAGUUGUUGUUGUAUAUAGCGGCAACCAAUCAAGUGGUUAGUGUUGCGUUAGUGGCAGAGAGGAAGGCGGAUGACGAGCUAGCAACCACGACAGGCGCAUCCAGCGGCAAGCAGAGGGCUUCCCCGGCAAGCUCUGGUCCCGACAAAGAUGGAUCUGCGCAGAUGCGCGAGGAGAUACAAAAGAAAAUGGUGCAGCGCCCAGUUUACUUUGUCAGUUCCCUUCUGCAGGGGGCUAGGUCAAGGUACUCUGGCAUGCAGAAAUUGCUUUUCGGCCUUGUCAUGGCCUCGAGAAAGCUGCGCCAUUACUUCCAAGCACAUGAGAUCACAGUUGUCACUCGCUUUCCGCUGAAGAGGAUACUACAGAAUCCAGAAGCGAUAGGUAGGAUUGUUGAGUGGGCACUGGAACUGUCAAGCUUUGGCCUCAAGUUUGGGAGUACUUCAACUAUCCAAAGCAGAGCAUUGGCAGAGUUCAUAGCAGAAUGGACGCCAACACCAGAUGAAGAAAUUCCAGAAACGAGCAUCCCCGUCGACGAAGCAAGCAAAGAGUGGCUGAUGUACUUUGAUGGUGCUUUUUCGCUGCAAGGCGCCGGCGCUGGCGUGCUGCUUAUCGCACCCACCGGAGAGCACCUCAAGUACAUAGUCCAGAUGCACUUUCCCAAGGAGCAAGCAACAAACAAUACUGCAGAAUAUGACGGCUUGCUUGCCGGUGUCAGGAUCGCGGCAGACCUUGGGAUCAAGAAGCUCAUUGUCCGGGGUGACUCACAGCUUGUCGUCCGCCAAGUGAACAAGAGUUAUUAGAGUCGUUCAUGGAAGCUUAUGUCGACGAAGUGAGAAAGAUAGAAGAGCACUUUGACGGCCUACAGAUGGAGCAUGUUCCAAGAGCUCAGAACGCCAUUGCCGAUGGCCUGUCAAAGUGCGCUGCACUUAAGUUACCUGUGGAACCAGGGAUCUUUGUGCUCAAGCUGACUCAACCGUCUGUAACGCCUUCAACUGGACAGAGCAAGAAGAGGAAGUUGAUUUCUAGUGACUAUUUGCCGGCAGAGCUUCCCGAAGCCGCCGCCAAGAAGGUCCCCAAGAUCAACGCCAAGAGCGCUAAGGAGCAAUCUGCUCCGGCAAGCCCUAGGGUUUGUUCCGUUGAAGCAGAAGCUCCCGGCAAGUUUUGCUCCGGCAAGCUUGCCAGGGAACGUCAAGCUCCGGCAGAGCCACAGGUUCUCGCCAUAGAAGCGGACGUUCCCGCAGCAGCAGAUUUGCCUUUGGCAAAGAAGGUCCCCGAGAUCAAGGCCAAGAGCGUUGAGGAGCAAUCUGCUCCGGCAAGCCCUAGGGUUUGUUCCGUUGAAGCAGAAGCUCCCGACAAGUUUUGCUCCGGCAAGCUUGUCAAGGAACGUCAAGCUCCGACAGAGCCGCAGAUUCUCGCCGUAGAAGCGGAUGUUCCCGCAGCCGCAGAUUUGCCUUUAGUCCUUGUUGUCGAGCCACAAGCUCCAGCAUGGGCACAGCAGGUUGUCCAUUUCCUUCAGACAGGAGAACUUCUCGAAGAGCAAGAAGAAGCGGAAAGAGUAGCCCGGCAGUCAAGUAUGUACCAGUUUGUCGACAAGACACUGUACAGAAGAAGACUCAAUGGUGUGAAAUUGAAGUGUAUUCACCGGGAAGACGGACAAAAGUUGUUGGCAGAGAUACAUGGAGGCAUAUGUGGUCACCACAUUGGCGCAAGAGCACUUGUCGGCAAAGCAUUCCGGCAAGGUUCCUUUUGGCCGACAGCCCUCCAGGAUGCAACUGCACAAGUAACCAAGUGUGAAGCGUGCCAGUUCCAUUCCAAGCAGAUACACCAACUAGCUCAAGCUCUCCAGACGAUCCCUUUAUCCUGGCCAUUUUCGGUCUGGGGGCUCGACAUCCUCGGCCCCUUUCCCCGAGCAGUCGGGGGCUUUGAGUACUUGUACGUCGCAAUCGACAAGUUCACAAAGUGGCCGGAAGUGGAACCAGUGAGGAAGGUGACAGCACAGUCAGCAGUCAAGUUCUUCAGGUCGAUUGUUUGCCGCUUCGGGAUCCCUAACAGGAUAAUCACCGACAACGGUACACAAUUCACGAGCCGCACCUUCAUGUAGUACGUCCAAGAUCUUGGCGCCAAGGUCUGCUUCGCUUCUGUUGCUCACCCGAGAAGCAACGGUCAAGCGGAGAGGGCAAAUGCUGAAGUGCUACGCGGGCUCAAGACCAGGACUUUCGACAGGCUGCACAAGUGCGGAAGAAACUGGAUCGAGGAGCUGCCGGUGGUUCUUUGGUCGAUCAGAACGACGCCAAAUCGAGCCACUGUCCAGACACCUUUUGCUCUAGUCUAUGGAGCAGAGGCAGUUCUCCCCACGGAACUCGUAUACGGGUCACCUCGAGUGCUCGCUUAUGAUGAGCUCGAGCAAGAGCAGUUGCGACAAGAUGACGCGCUGCUCCUUGAGGAAGACCGUCUUCAGGCUGCUGUGCGAGCUGCUCGCUACCAGCAAGCUUUGCGCCGCUACCAUAGCCGCAAAGUUAAUGCCAGAAGUUUCGAGGAAGGCGACCUUGUUCUUCGGCGUGUUCAGUCCGCCAAGAAUUCCAACAAGUUGACGCCAAAGUGGGAAGGCCGUUACCGGGUGAAACGAGUCACUAGGUCUGGUGUUGUCCGCCUUGAGACCGAAGAUGGCAUUCCGGUGAGCAACUCCUGGAACAUUGAGCAUCUUCGUAAGUUUUACCCGUAAGGCGCGGUUGCCGGAACCUGUUCCGGCAACCACCUUUUGUACAAGUCUUGCCGCUGUUGCAUAUAAUCCUUUGUACAAAGCCGGGCGCAGACCCCGUGCAUAAGUAAAGCUCAUGUGCUCCGCACAUUUUGUCAAUUUCAUGCUCUCUAUUUUUUGGCAUAUAUGAUCUGACACUUUGUGCAGCACCUACUCCAUGGUAAGCAAUAACAAGCCGUAAGGCUCCAUAUCUUUAUCUUCUCUUCUUUCUUUUUUCUCAAGGAAAGGAAGGUUCCCUCGCCCACAAGUUUGCCGGGGAGGAAAGGAGAAGAUAAUGGUAUGGACCAGGCGUCGUUCAAGAAAAUUUCGCCUUACCGGGAAGCAAACAACAGAAAAGCUAAGUUGCCAAAGUUUGAGCAAUCAAAUUUUUUAAAUUUUAAGUUAUCUCCCUUGAACGAUCGCACUUUGUACGGAAAACCUGUGCGCGGAGGAACCAACUCGUAGCUAGUUGCGCCCUUACUUUGUUUCGAGUCCGCUCAACAACUUAAGUGAGCUGCAACUAGUUGCGACAAGGUUUCUUGUCGAUAGCGGCACCGCCAGCAGGCUGCUGACGUCCUGCACUCAGCGCUCGCGGCUCAGGUACCUGCACCGGCAAGUUCCCUAAAAGCAUAGGGCAAAAACAUACAAAGGGAGGAAUCAAGUAAAGGGAAUAACAUUGCAAUCAUUACCCAGAAUAGAGUUAUAUUACAAAGAUAGCUUGUCGCGGCUCUAACAGAUUGUUUUCAUAGCAUGACAAACAGCGACAAGAAAAGAAGAAAUGGGCAGCCUAAUCUACGCGAUCGCCCUCGAUCCUCUUGAUCCCGCUCACCUUGUCCACAAUGGGUGUGACAAGGGCCUUGAGCGCCUCCAGAUCGGCAUCCGGCGGCAGGGUUUUGAGGACGUUGGUGAGGUUGAGGCCCGGAUUGUGGAAGGCCGCCUUCACCAACACUUUCUGAAGAGCUCCCGCGCAGAUCUUGCGCGACUCGUCGGCCAGCUGCUUUGGGAUCCUCUCCCGGAGUCGCUGGAGGGCCGUCGCCACGCCCUUGAAGAACAAGACGAGCUUGGCGCUGGGUUGGAGGUUCUCGUCGGAGGGAUACCCGAGAUCCUCCAUCCCUAGCUGCGCCAACUCCCUAUAAAUAUCUGUGGCAGUGCUCACGAGGCUCUCCGUCCAGUGCUCCACAUUUUCCCUGAAAGCAUUCUGGGUGGCGGCAACACUCUCCAACAGCGCCUUGUCGGCCUUGAUCUCUUCUUUCAAGGCCGUCUCCUGCUCCUUGGCGCCGUCCAGCGUCUUGGUCAAAGUGGUCAGCUUCAACUCAAGAUCCGCGUUGGAGUCUUUGGCGGCGCUGAGCUCUUUGCCCUUCUCGGCAAGAUCGGCCUCCCGCUGCACCACCUUCAUCUCCAGCUCCUUCUUGGCGGCCUCGGCAACUGCGGCAGCAUCCUCUGCUUACUUAAGGGCUCCACCGAGUUUUUCCCCGCGCACGGCAAGCUCCUCCUCGUGGGCGUCAAGAUUGACCUUCCGCUGCGCCAGCUCGCCCUCCUCCGCGGAUAGCUUCACAGCGGCAAGUCGCUGUUGCUCUUCGACUUCAGCCUUCUCAAGGAGGAAGGCCUUCUGCGCUUCGGCGAGCUGCUCCCGCUCCUCCGCCAGGGACCGGAGGGCUUCCUGGUGGAAAUCCCCGAGCUCUUCCGCGUGCUUCUCGAUGUCUGCUCCCGCCUUCGCGACAAGCGCCUUGCGGGAUUCCAGCUUGGCUUGCCGCGCGCGGUAGAGCGACAACAACUUCCGCAGCAGCCGCUCUUCCUCGGGCUCGUUGCUGCUGCUGCUCGGCGCGUCAACCAGCGUCAGCCCAGCGGAGGCAAGCACCUCCCCGUCGAAGAUCUCUCCCUCGACCGGCGCCCAGGAGCUCGAUGCCUAGGGAAGGUUGAUGAAGACGUCAUCGCCGGCCUUCAAGUAGACGCCUGGCUGGGGCUCUUCGGAGCCUGGCACUGUGGCAGCGGCGGACGGGUCGGCGAUCGGUGUAGCGCCUGGCGCUCCUGCGGCCUCAGGGCCGUCAGUGCGAUCGCCAGACCCCUCGCCAGUUGCCGCGGCGGCAGCCUUGGCGGCCUCUGCGCCGGCGGGAUCGUCGGCACCGGCCGCUUCUUCGGCGGCAACCUCGGUCUCCAUCGGCUCCGUAGCAGAUGGGUCUGACAGCCGGAAAAGGGAGAAGAGUCAAGCAAAAACCCAAGAAGAUCAAAAGAAGAAGAACCCAAGGAAAGUUUUGAAGCGAAAGGAUUACCUGUGCCGGGUUCUGCAGUCGUGGUCUCCACCGUCGGGGGGCCGCUGGUGCUGUCCCUUGCCGGAGAACCCUCCCUUACCGGAGACUUCUCCCUUACCGGAAAGCCCUCCCUUGCCGGAGAGCUCUCCCUUGUCGGGGGAUUCUCCCUUGGCUCUUGGUGGGGCUGCUCUGCUCCUACACAAACCAGCAGUAAGAUAUCAGCAAAGACAGAGUAUCCAUGCGCAUCUCACAGCAGAAAGCAACCCAUAUACUAACGCUGGGGGCUGCUCUGGAGAAAAGUUGCCGGGUCCGGCAAGGUUGUCUCGAGCGCACCCCCUGCUGUCGCAGUAGGUUCGUCCUCGAUGACAAUCAUCGGGACUUUGGCUCUCUUUGCUGCUCUCUGGGCCAGAGUCCUAAAAAGGAACAAGUUCAGAGUCAAGCAAAUGAGAUACAAGACAAACAGCAAGCAUUGAAGAACUACAAGUACACCAAAGGAGUCUUACUCUUCUUCUUCUUCCUCGUCGGAGCUGAACGCGGAGAAGUCGAAGUCUGGCUCACGUCCGGCACGAGGAGGCGGAGGAGUAGCUUCCCUUGGCCGCUUGGCGGGAGCAGUGGCGGCGGUCUGAGACGACCCCGCUCCGACUGUCGCCGCGGCGUGAGAAGCGGCAGGAGUAGAAGUGGUGGUCCGGGAGGGCCCCGCUCCAGUUGCCGUCACAGCGUGAGGCGCUCCCGCGGUAACAGUGCUUGCCGCGGUGGAGCGUGUCACGCGGCGCAGCGACUGUUGCCUCGCUUGCCGCUCCGCUACGUCACCGACCUUGCGGAGACGCCUUCUUGGUGUGGAUGGAGGCUCUGCUUGCGGCGAGCUGUCUGAAGAUGAGGAGGAAGACGAGUUGAUCUCCAGCGAGCCGCUCGUAUCCUUGGCGGGCUCGCUCGACUCGAUGUUAUGCCCGGCAAGCUCUUUCUCGCCGGCAGGCUCCCCUUGCUCGGCACGGCUUGCCGCCUCUGCUGCCUCUGCCUCCUCCACGGUGAAUCCAAAUUCUCCCGCGGCUGCGGCUGCCGCCGCCUCUUCUAGCCUAGUGGCGAUGAGUGCCAUCUCCGCAUCGGUGGUGUCGCGGGUGAGGCUAUCUUUCUCGUCGGAGCGGAUCGGCACUUCUACCAAGUCAUCGAAGAAUUGCUGCACGACGUCGUCUGCAGGCUCUUGCCAAGUUGGGACAAUUCCAUGCGAGUCGCACAACGGCAUCAUUGCACGGAUGCGGUCGAGCUCGGAGUUGUUACACAGCGGAACGACCCCCCCCCCCAGCAACCUGAAAACUUCGGGGUGUUGAGGGUCGUACUUGAACAGCUCCUGGAGCAUCGCGUUGAGCUCCAGAACUGUGAAGUUGAAGUUGAGGCCCGGCCGCAGCCUCAUGAUAUCUGCCGCAUUCUUGAACUCCCAAGUGGGUCUCCCCCGUUCCUGCAGGGGGGCGAUGCGGCGCGAAGAAAAUCCGCGCCAACAGUGCCUACAGUGAGCCCGGCAAGCCUGAGGCGUAGGAUCCGGGUGACAGCAAUCUUCAGCCUGUCGUCUUCCGGGGCCACGUCACUCCAAUCGCUGCCGCGUGCUACUGGGGUUUGGCGCUGGGUGGUGAAUGGCUGCGGGUUCUCCUCGUCAAUCCAGCACCAGUCCGCUCUCCACUCCUCCCACUUGCCGCGGAAUUCUCCCUCCAGAUAAGUUUCCUUCUUGCCGGCCCUUGAGAUCCAGGCGAUUCCACCGGAUAAAGGCUCUCCUAUCUCUACUCGGGGUAUAAAGAAGUGGCGAAAGAGGGCUACAUUGGGAUGGACUCCGACAAAGUUUUCACAGAGAUUUGCGAAAACUGCCAUGGUCAAAACGGCAUUGGGGGUGAAGUCGAGGAGAUGGAACCCGUAGGUGUUCAUGAUAUCGCAGAAGAAUUCAGAGAAAGGCGGGCAGAGCCCGCAGUAGAAGAACAAGGCGAAGAAAGGGUAUCCGUUUGGGGCCUUCUUCCAAGCGGCAGCGGGAAGUACCUUCGUGCGCGGAUGCGCUCGUGUCUCCGUCGACCAGAAGAGGUAGUAUUUCUCCCUCAGCUCCCUCGCGGCAAGCUUGGGGGGAAGACUACCCGCUCCUUUUGUAGCGCCGCAAGCCACUGCGCCUCAGUCAACUUCACGACCUUCCCCUUGUCGGCUUUUGGAGCCAUGGCGGAAGUGGUGGAGGAGGUCGACGGCGUUGGUGGUGCUGGUGGCGAUGGGGGGCGGAGCGCUGCUCUCUUUCGGCUUUGGGAAGACGAGGGAGCGGCGGAGAUUUCUGAGAUUGAAGCAGCAACCGGCGAAUGGGCGAACUACCCCUGUUCCCCCUUCUUAUAAAGAGGGAGGGGGCGGACGUUCCGCAUUUCCGAAUAAACAAACUGCCCACGAUCUCUCCCACGAUGCCGCAUUCAACGCGUGCCGUUUGGGGAGGGCGCGGUGGAUACGGAGAGAGAUACGGCGUAACCUACGCCGCACGUGCCCCUGCCCAGUUUUGGGCCUGGCCCAACAGCGCUCGGCACCGUGUAUGGCCCAGGCCCGGGGGCUCCUGUCGGUGUACUAGAGUAGGGGUACCCUAGUAUCCCGAACUUGUGCACGGGCAGUCGCAGCAUCCCCCGGCAAGGCUUGCCGGGUGACCGCCAAGGUCAUCCGUGGUUCCUUUGGAGCCAUUCAAGAACAAAGUAUCCAAACCAAGACACCACAAGACCCCGGCAAGAGGAGCUUGCCGGGAAGGCCAACCAAGGCAAGGCGCUUAAGGAGACAAGACCCCCGCAAGAGGAGCUUGCCGGGAAGGCCACCCAAGGCAUCUCAAGGAACUUGCCGCGGCGCGCCUCGCGUCCCGGCAAGGCCCGGUGAGCGACAAACUCCCGGACGCGACAAGACAACGACCGCAGCAAGGCGCUUGCCGCGGCAAGCCACCACUCUGUGCCCGCGCUCCAGCACAUCCACCAACGUGUCGCUCUGGGACCCUUCCAGGCGUGCGUGGCGGGAGGCUGUGCAGCCAGCGGUGCGCAGUGGCGAGCGGCGCUGACAAGAUUGCCAUCGUGGCGAGCGGUGGCGUCCCUGGCGGUCCCUUUUGCACUGUUUAGGCGACACAGACGGGCAUUUAAUGCCCUUGUCCCCUGCCGUCAGGGUUAGGUAUGAUACACGGUAGCAGGUAGCUGUACCUACCGCAGCACCUUUCCAUUUUUACCCUUUGUCUCCGUUGCCACCUGUCGGUGACCCCUUGAGCAUAUAAAAGGAGGCCCAUGUGCAACGUAGAGGGGGGUUCGGAAAAAAGAGAACACUCAGGCUCGGUCUCGUUAGCCGCUGGUGUGUACUGUAGCACUCCGCGCUCCCGAGUAAGAACUCAAUACAAACCACAAAGCAGGAGUAGGGUUUUACGCAUCCGUGCGGCCCGAACCUGGGUAAACUGCUCGUGUGCUUCGCCUCGAUCUGCUCUUCGUGCGACCUCCGCCCCCGCCGAACCGAAAGGACUCGGUCUGCCGGUCCCAUAGGUGUUCGUGGAUUAGUCCCCCGAUAGACGGUAUGGACGACGAUGCGGGAGACAAAGAGGAACCACUGCCCACAAGGCACUGGACAGCCACCUCAUCAUAUGACAUAUAUAUGGUGGACGCACCCAAAGAAGGCAAUGGCAAUGGGACAGCAGAGGAUAACCCCUCCAAGAAGCAACCCAAGCGCCGACAUCAGCGGCGCCGCUCUAAGUCUCUCCAAAGCAAAAGCGGUGACACCGGCACAGGAGAUAAUAACACUCCAGAUAGUGCCGAAGACGACAACAAUCCCCUCCGGCAAGAUUUAGGGCAGGAGGAUGGAGAAGCCAGCCCUCCCGAGAGAGCGGCAGAUGGAGAGGCAGAGGAUGAUAAUUACAUGCCUCCCUCCAAAGACGAGGCAAGCCUUGACGAUGACGAAUUCGCCGUGCCUGAGGAUCCCAUCGAACAAGAGUGCUUCAAGCGUCGGCAUAUAGCCACGACAAAUAGCCUUAAGAAAAAGCAACAGCAGCUUCAAGUUGAUCAAGAUUUGCUAGCUGACAGAUGGACUGAAGUCCUUGCGGCCGAGGAAUAUAAACUCGAACGCCACUCCAAGAGUUACCCAAAGCGCAUGUUGCUACCCCGACUGGAGGAGGAAGCACCGAAACCUACAUCUCCGGCGUAUGACGCGGCUGAUCGGCCACCUCGUGGCUGUGACAAAGAGGCAUUCCAGCCAAAAGUCCAGCCCGCACCCCGACGCUAAUCAAAUAAAAAUUUCAAGACAUGGGGAAAUACGCCAGACCUGCAAGACGUAUUGGAGGAAAAAGCAAAACAUGCAAGAUCGAUCUACGGAUCGCGAGGGCGCGCCACUAUGCGAGACGAUAACCGUCACGCCGGAUACAGUAAAAGUAAGUCCGGUCGGGCCGAACACAGCGGAUAAGACUCAUUUGAGUUGCGUCGCGAUACAGCCCAGUACAGAGGUGCCGCACACCCCCUAUGCUUCACAGACGAAGUCAUGGAUCAUCAAAUCCCAAAGGGUUUCAAACCCGUAAAUACAGAAUCAUACGAUGGCACAACAGAUCCUGCGGUAUGGAUCGAGGACUUCCUCCUGCACAUCCACAUGGCCCGCGGUGACGAUCUACACGCCAUCAAAUACCUCCAACUUAAACUCAAAGGACCAGCUCGGCAUUGGCUCAGCAGCCUGCCAGCAGAAUCCAUUGGCUGUUGGGAGGAUCUGGAAGCCGCAUUCCUUGACAACUUCCAGAGCACUUAUGUGCGACCACCAGAUGCCGAUGACUUGGGCCACAUAAUUCAGCAGCCAGAGGAAUCGGCCAGGCAAUUCUGGACACGGUUCCUAACAAAGAAAAAUCAAAUCAUCGACUGUCCGGAUGCAGAGGCCAUAGCAGCUUUUAAGCACAACAACCGCGACGAGUGGCUCGCCCGGCACCUUGGCCAGGAAAAGCCGAAAUCUAUGGCAGCCAUCACGACACUCAUGACCCACUUUUGUGUGGGAGAAGACAGCUGGCUGGCUCGCAGAAAUAACAUAUCAAAGAACCAUGGUACUUUGGAUACCAAGGAUGACAAUGGCAGGUCACGUCGCAACAAAAACAAGCGCCGCAUUAACAACGAUAAUACUGAGGAUACGGCAGUUAAUGCCGGAUUCAGAGGCUCUAAACCCGAUCAGCGGAAAAAGCCAUUCAAAAGAAGCACUCCGGGCCCGUCCAGUUUGGACCGUAUACUCGAUCGCUCGUGUCAAAUACACGGCACCCCCGACAAGCCAGCCAACCACACCAAUAGGGGUUGUUGGGUGUUUAAGUAGGCCGGCAAGUUAAAUGCCAAAAACAAAGAUAAGGGGUCACAUAGCGAUGACAAGGAGGAGCCCCGGCAGCCGAACACCGGAGGACAGAAGAGGUUCCCCCCACAAGUGCGGACGGUGAACAUGAUAUACGCAACCCACAUCCCCAAGAGGGAGCGGAAGCGUGCGCUAAGGGACGUAUAUGCAUUGGAGCCAGUCGCCCCAAAGUUCAACCCAUGGUCCUCCUGUCCGAUCACCUUCGAUCGCAGGGACCACCCCACUAGUAUCCGUCAUGGCGGAUUCGCCGCACUGGUCCUAGACCCAAUCAUUGACGGAUUUCACCUCACUCGAGUCCUCGUGGAUGGUGGCAGCAGCCUGAACCUGCUUUAUCAGGACACAGUGCGCAAAAUGGGUAUAGACACCUCAAGGAUCAAACCCACAAAAACGACCUUCAAAGGCGUCAUACCAGGUGUAGAGGCCCAUUGCAUAGGCUCAGUCACACUGGAAGUGGUCUUCGGAUCCCCGGAUAACUUCCGAAGCGAGGAGUUAAUCUUCGAUAUAGUCCCGUUCCGCAGCGGCUAUCAUGCACUGCUCGGGCGAACCGCAUUUGCGAGAUUCAAUGAGGUACCGCAUUAUGCAUACCUCAAGCUCAAGAUGCCAGGACCUCGGGGGGUCAUCACAGUCAAUGGAAACACAGAGCGCUCUCUCCGCACGGAGGAGCACACUAUGGCCCUCGCAGUAGAAGCGCAAAGCAGCCGCUUAAGGUAAUCCACCAGUUCGGCGAUUCAAGACCCGGACACCUUCAAGCAUGCCCGGAGUAAUCGGCAACAAGAAUGCCUGGCAUGUUCCGAGCUUGCAUAGCAAUGCGGCCCCAACCCCAGCACCAGCCAAACGGCGAAAUCCGUGCCACGCGUACAUAAUUAUGCAUUAAAAAUACCAUUGGCACAGGGGGGAGGGGGCACGACUACGGCAUGCCCCAAGACGCGGCUCAACCGCACUAGGGGCUUCCCGUUUUGUUAUUUUUCUCUCUUUCAGGACUUUAAUCUCUGGAAACCCCGUCCGGCAGUACGGUUGCCAGACACACAAUGCAACAACCAAGGAGGCAGAAAGCUACGCCGCACCACGGAACUCCCAUGUGGUCUCUGACAACGAGUGAAAUACCUGCUUUAAAUACCAUUCUUAGCUUGCCCUUGGAGGGGACAUGUCAAGUAGUCCUACUUUUUGCUUAUCGCACUACUUGUAUCAUUCUGCUUUACGCACCUUUUUGAAUAAACAAUGCAUAGCACUAGACUAUUAUCGCAUAUAUAUAUAUAUGUGUGUGUGUGUGUGUGUUCAUUCAUGACAUUCAGCACCCGUACACUCUGGUAUGGCCAAUACGCCAGGGGCUUAAGCGUACCCCAUAAUACGGCGUGAGAAGUCCGAACACUUUGACAGUGCGGCACCCCGAACUUAUAGCAUUAUAUGCAUCGGCUCCGAAUCAUGUCUUGGGUCAAUAGUUGGGUUUGCCCGGCUCCCAUGUUUUGGUACCUUAUGUUCCGCUAUAUCGGCUAAGGUAGCACUGGAAGAACUACUGCGAUUGUGCCCCGGUUCAGCUGGGCUAAGCACCUCAGUAGAGAAAGCUAAAAUUGACUGUCAUGAUAAGGCGAGAGACUGGUCGCUGAUCGAGAGGUUUCAAGUCCCUAAAGACUUAUGCCGCUUAGAGCGAGGAGUCGGCUUUGUCCGGCUUAAGGCGUGUAUAGCGCCCCGAAUUCAGCCUUCCGAAUACUAGGGGCUUUGCCAAAAUUUAAAAUUAUAGAAUUUUAUGGCUAAGUGAGAAUGAUAAAGCAUUAUAGUCCAAUUGCCUUGUUCGUUGUGCUGAGCACCUCCCUCGAAGGACCCAAAAAUGGGAACAAGAGUGCUCUGGUUUAUCCCGAACACCCCACCACUCGUGGCAUGGGGGCAGAAGCCGACGACUAGCCAUCUCUCAGAUUUGAUAAAUAGUUGAACAGAACAUAAUAUUUUAAAUUCAAACAAGCGUUGCAUAGCGCAUAUGAACAAGUUUUCAUAAUACAGGAUCACACGAGCAAGUUCAUUCAAAUAUUACAUCUUCUGCAAACUCAUCCGCUACAAGACGGGCACCCUUCAGGACCCCCUCAUAAUACAUCUCGGGGUGGCGAUGCUCCUUGCCCUGCGGCGGCCCCUCCUUCACCAGCUUCUUGGCGUCCAUCUUGGCCCAGUGCGCCUUUGCACGGGCAAAAGCCCGGCGUGCACCUUCGAUGCAGACGGACCGCUUGAUGACUUCUAGCCGUGGGCAGGCAUCCACAAGCCGCCUCACCAGGCCGAAGUAGCUGUUGGGAAGGGCUUCGCCAGGACACAUCCGGACUAUAAAGCCCUUCAUGGCCUGUUCGGCCUCCUGUGCAGCUCGAACAGUUGCUUCAGCUGGUCGCUCACAGCCAUCGGGUGUUCGGUCCCAGUAUACUGAGACCAGAACAACUUCUCCAUCGAGCUUCCCUCCUUAGCCUGGUAAUAUUCCGCGGCAUCCGACACGCUACGGGGCAAAUAUGCGAAUGCUCCUGGAGCUCUCCGGACUCGAGUAAGUAACAAGUAAUUUACUUGCACAUGCUUGCUUUGCAUAUUGAAUGCCUUACUCGCCGCUAUCUUCCUCAUCGCUUCAAUCUCCUGGAGGGCUUUUUGGGCUUCGGCCUUGGCAUUCUUUGCGCUCUCGAGGGUCGCGGCAAGCUCAGACUCUCACGUCUUUGAAUCAAGCUCCAAAGCCUUGUGCUUCGUCACAAGAGCCUGGAGCUCUUGCUGCACCUCGCCCACCCGUGCCUCUUGCUUUUCCCGCUCGGUGCGCUCCUUGGCCACUUUGUCUUCAGCCUCGGACAGCGCUGGCGUUAGGGUCGCCACCUCGGUUGUGGCCCCUGGCACAUUCAUGAUGAUCUUGUCAUUUCGCAACCACAUUUUCUUUUAUAUAUAUAGACAAGGUAUUCCUUACCUUUAUUCUCCUCGAGCUGCCUCUUGGCAAGGCCGAGCUCUUUCUCGGACCCCUUGAGGUCCUACUUCAGUGCGGCGUCCUCCGCAGUCAGUGCGGCAGAGGUCAGCAGCGAAGCCCGCAUAUGCAUACAGGCAUACUUAUAUUAGACUCCUGCAUAUUUUAUUUGAUCCUCUAUUCGGCUUUUCUUUGUGAACACCAAACAGAGCAUCAGGGGAUACUGUCUAUGCGGUAAUAUUUUUCCUAUAUUUUCAAUACUUACCUCAAAGCAUGUUAGAAGGCUGGCACAGGCUUCAGUCAGUCCGCUCUUGGCAAACUGAACUUUCUUGAUAACCGCACUCAUAAUAGUGUGGUGUUCUUCGUCGAUGGAAGCGCCUCGAAGCGCUCCCAACAGGUUGUCCGAUGCCUCUGGAUGGACAGAGGUCACUGGCAUGGGUGUCUUGCCCCUUUUGGAAGGGGGCCGCCUGCCCGAGUCCGGAACCACUGGAGGUUCCGGCGCGGUGUUCUGCUGAGAGCCGAACUUGGAGCCCCCGGGAGUCUUGCUCCCUUUGCUCCUGGACUCCGGAAGGUCGCCUUGAGGCACCUCCGGGACUGUCUCCCCCGGCUCGGUGCUCCUUCAGACAAUACCUUGACAUUGUCUGUAGGGAAAGGGGAGGAGGCGGUCGGAAGUGGAUCGCUAUCCAUAUCCGACGAGUCCAAGGAACCACCCGACGAGGAUACGUCGAUACGGGCUUGGGGCGGUCUACAUAAUCAUAUUCGGCGUUAGGAGAAGCAGUGCGACAAAGGUAUGCUAUGAGUUACUCUGGUAUCCGAAUACUUACGACUUCGCCAGGGGCUUGGCCCUGAGCAGCCACUCGUCUUCACCAUCGCUGGCGGUGGUGGAGCAGUCCGGAAGGAGAGUCCUUCCCUUCUUGGACCCUUCGGCCUCCCCGGUUGGGGCGGCCUUCCUUUUCUUGUCUCCCCCGGUUGGAGGGGGAGAAUCUUCAUCUUCCUUCUCCUUGUUUUCACGGGAGGACGGUGUCUUGGUGUUAUCGGACGAGGAGUCCGAUACCACCUGGCGCCGGGAACUCUUUCGGGUUCCCUUGGCCUUCUUCUUGGUCUUCUCCGGCACCUCAUAAGGAGCCGGAGUCAGCAUCUCCUUCAGGAGAGCGUCCGCAGUGUCUUCAAGAAGAGGGGUCGGACAGUCAAUCUGCUCCGAUGCCUCCACCCAGUCCUGUCAGAUGGGAGCUCAGACCCCGCACAUGGUUAAGCUAUGGGAAAUAAAUAUCCUACCAGAUGUAUAGAACUUACCAGAUUCGCAGGGCGCUUCGCGCUUAGUCCGCGGUCCUCGGUGAGAGAGGGAGGGACCUCGGCACCCUUGAACAGCACCCUCCAGACGUCUUUGUGCGUCGUGUCGAAGAUCUCGCUUAGAGUCUGGUGCCGGGCUGGGUUGAACUCCCAUAAGUUGAAAUCCCGUUGUUGACAUGGGAGGAUCCGGCGGAAGAGCAUGACCUGGACUAUGUUGACAAGCUUAAGUUUCUUGCUUGUCAUGUUCUGGAUACACUUCUGGAGUCCGUCCAGCUCCACCGAUGAACACCGGGACAGGCCCUUCUCCUUGCAGGAACGGAGCCGCGAGGGGAUUCUGGAUCGAAACUCGGGGGCCGCCACCCAGUUGGUGUCGCGCGGCUCGGUGAUGUAGAACCACCCCGAUUGCCACCCCUUUAUGGUCUCCACGAAGGAGCCCUCGAGCCAUGCAACGUUGGGCAUUUUGCCCACCAUGGCUCCGCCGCAUUCUGCUUGUUGGCCGCCCACCACCUUCGGCUUUAUAUUGAAGGUCUUCAGCCACAGGCCAAAGUGGGGCCGGAUGCGGAGGAAAGCCUCGCACACGACGAUGAACACCGAAAUGUUGAGGAUGAAAUUCAGGGCCAGAUCAUGAAAGUCCAGCCCAUAGUAGAACAUGAGGCCACAGACGAAUGGAUGGAGGGGAAACCCCAAUCCGCGGACGAAAUGGGGGAGGAAAACCACCCUUUCGUGAGGUUCCGGGUAGGGACAAUCUGCCCCGCGGCUGGCAACCGGUGCGCAAUAUCCGCGGCUAAGUAUCCGGCUCCACGUAACUUUUUGAUGUGCCCCUCUGUGACGGAGGAGGCCAUCCACUUGCCUCCCACUCCAGACAUGUUUGGGGAGAGUUGAGGAGGAGGAUGCGGACUUGGGCGCUGGAGCUCGAGUGCACGAGAAUGGAUGAGCAAGGAGGAAGAAGGCAUGGGUAUAAAAAGGUGAGACCUUAUCCCUUUAUAAGGGCGGACUAAAAUAUGCACCCCCACUUGCCUGGUAAAACUCGCUUAUCUCCCACGUCCGUAUUGAUGAGAAUCCCAUAAUAAGGGGAACACGAUCUCUGCUUUGACAAGACGUGUCAAGAAACCGCCUCGCAUUAUGUGCGGGGGCUGGUUAAAGAAAAACGGUUCAAAUAAUUAUCGGGCCAUGGCGUGAUGUCAUGCUGCCGAAACGUGUCAGCAGAUUAGAUUUGUGGUAAUAUUAUUCUCUCUACGGUGGUAUGUGGAACUUAUUUUGCAGGGUCGGACACUAUCCUUGUAUUCAAAUUCUUUCGUGGUGUAUUCGGAGGAGGAACCCGCCUUGCAAUGCUGAAGACAACACUGCCACUACAAGAAAUAUGUCAACUUGUGACCUUGACUAUUGGUCACUGAAAGGUCAUUGUUUUUCAUUUGCGACCUUUUUGUGACCAAAAAUAGAAGGUCAAAAGCUGGCGGUCGUAAACUGAAAUUAACGACCUUCUCUGUGAGAAGGUCGUAGACGUUUACGACCAAAAUAUGCCUACUGGUUUGUUUUGGUCACUAGCAACCUCCCCAGCCCACGUAGGCAUCUAGCAUGGCAAGCAGAUGUGGCACAAGAUUCAGCCCGGUCCAAUUCGGCGUUCUACAUGGGCCUAGCCCAACAAUUCGGCCUUUCUAUAUAUUUUUUUCCUAUGCUUUUAUUAGCUACAUGGGCCUGGCCCAAGAAUUCGGCCUUUUUAUUUUCUAGGCCAUGGCCUUUUUUAUUUUAUUUUUUCCAAAAGACGAGCCCACUAGUGAGAUGGUACCCAAUUGUCAGGUUUUAACAAGUGGGUCCCAGUUGUCACUGUUAUAUUCUUCAGAUCUCAAUUUUCUAGUAAAUAAAUAACAAUAUUUAAAUCCGAACAGAGAGAAAACAAAAUGCUUCAAACAGAGCAUGAUUAAUCAGGAAAAAUAUGGUUCACAUCACGAAUACAAUCAAAAAGAGCCAAACUUGGCACAUUACAAUCAAACUUGUUCAUCCUGGUAACACAAUAAGGAUGGUUCAUCCUGGUAACACAUUAUUACAGAAAAAUAUGGUUCACAUCAAGUUUACAAUAAAAAAAUGUUCACAUCAGUAACACAACUAUCACAGUAUAACUAGCUCCAAUGCUUCUCCCAACUUGUUCAUCCUGGAUCUCAUGACAAAACAUGAAUGAAGGCCAGCAUCUGCAAGUUAUCAAGAAAAAUGGUUAGAACAAGCAAAAUGCGACAUUUUUACCAUUUAAGCAUAGAAGAACAGGGUCAACAACAUUUUGAUCUUUGAAAAUGAACUAGGAUUUCAAUCUUUGAACAGCAAAAAAUUGAUACAGUAGAUCAUUUGCGGUUUAAAAGAACCCCUAAGGAGACACAUGUUGACACAUUCAUUUGGCAACAUCUGUAGAAUUUGAACCUCAUAAACAUGCAAUGUGGAAUUUGUAUCUCAAAGAAGUAUACAUAUUUAUCAGGUUUAAUUAGCACAUAAACAUGCAAUGUGGAAUUUGUAUCUCAAAGAAGUAUACAUACUUAUUAGGUUUAAUUAGCACACAGAAGCCAAAUGCUAGUAGCUCAUGAUUAGUACACAAGACAGAUUCAACAAAGUAAACAAGAAGGUGGCUACAGUACAAAACUAAGCUCAUCACACAGAAUAAAAUGAUAUUAAAAGUAAGCUCAGCAUAAGCAUAUGAGUUUUUUUGGCACCACCAGAUCAAACAUAGCAACUCCAAUGUGAACAGUUUCAGCAUUAUUGCCAUAUGUUUCCUUGGAAUCAUACUACACAGAGAAGGGUUCAACCUUAAGUCUGAACUAGCCUUAAAUGGUGGAGUACAAAUUUCCUUCUGUACUAGUGGACGUUGAUGGUGUUCCCUUCUUUUACAAAGGAGGACCCCACAUGCAGUGGCUACAUAAACAAGAAGUGUCAGCUUAAGUUGCAACCAGGAAUAGAAACACUUGCAAAAAUUCGGGCACUUGGGGUUUGGCAGGAGUACUACCUUGUGGAUGUCGCCCAUGAUGUUUGUGAGGAACAAGAG
RNAcentral lists this long non-coding RNA (24124 nucleotides) under Triticum aestivum (bread wheat). RNAcentral's name for it is "long non-coding RNA (TAES_LNC005980)". The record is from RNAcentral. Lineage: Eukaryota; Viridiplantae; Streptophyta; Magnoliopsida; Poales; Poaceae.